This 378-nucleotide ribosomal RNA is filed under the name uncultured bacterium. Its description in RNAcentral is "bacterial SSU rRNA". It matches the Rfam family "Bacterial small subunit ribosomal RNA", at positions 524 to 898 of the family's 1533-position model. The record is from RNAcentral.
UACGUAGGGGCCAAGCGUUGUCCGGAUUUAUUGGGCGUAAAGAGCUCGUAGGUGGUUCGGCAAGUCAGUUGUGAAAUCUCCGCGCUCAACGCGGAGGGGUCAGCUGAAACUGCUGUGACUUGAGUCUGGUAGGGGAGUGUGGAAUUCCCGGUGUAGCGGUGAAAUGCGCAGAUAUCGGGAGGAACACCAGUGGCGAAGGCGGCACUCUGGGCCAGUACUGACACUGAGGAGCGAAAGCGUGGGGAGCGAACAGGAUUAGAUACCCUGGUAGUCCACGCCGUAAACGUUGGGCACUAGGUGUGGGGACCUAUCGACGGUUUCCGUGCCGUAGCUAACGCAUUAAGUGCCCCGCCUGGGGAGUACGGCCGCAAGGCUAAA